Oreochromis niloticus (Nile tilapia) is the source of this 3709-nucleotide long non-coding RNA. RefSeq lists it as uncharacterized. The transcript is spliced from 2 exons. The record is from RefSeq and is a predicted model, not a curated record. NCBI's taxonomy places the organism in Eukaryota, Metazoa, Chordata, Actinopteri, Cichliformes, Cichlidae.
CCUGGAGCGCAGAAGACAGAGACAGAACGGCUCUUAGCGAUGCGGCGGAUGUGGUCAGUAACACUGUGAAACCAAGUCACCAACGAAAAGUGGGCGUGAUGGUGGGAAGCAGAGUAGAAUGGGAGAGGAGAGGAAGAAAGGAGAGGUAAAACAGGUUUGUACACUGAAUGAACUCAAAAUUCCUGAGGAUCUUUGAUGCUUUUUCCCAGAGCUGAGGUCUGCUGCCAAAAGGGGUCUUACUGAAAAGAUUUAGGCUCCAUAAUCCCCUUCUGCCUGAAAAAUUAAGUGGAAAAAAGAAAAAGGGAGACAGAAUUAAUUGUACUUUACAGUCACAUUACACUGACAUGUUGCUCCAAACCAGUUUCAGCUAGAUGUAGUGCAUGUCACAGACAGAGCUAGGAAUUUGAGGUUGUUUGGGGAGUGGAUUACAGAGUGGCUAUGACACACUUUAAAACACUACUGACUGAAACUAGAAUUGAUGUUGAUGCAUUCACACAUUCCCAGGUUCCAUAUAUGGACUAUUAAUUCCACUGGGUUAAAAUCCAUCUAAGAUCCACUGAUCUUAAAUUUUAAGCUUUAUGUUUUGCAAGCUUAAUAUAGCAGUAAAGUAAGUUUGGUUUACAACACCCGUUUGAUACUGCAGUAGUAAUGAAAGUGAAAUUUGACACAUCUUCACAUGAUUGUUAAAGUUAUAUGCUUGAAGCUUUGCAAACAUGUUUCCUUUUGCAUCUUCAUGUACAAGAUCAAAGAUAACAGUUCAGCCAACCUGAGAUCACAGAGCAUAUAAAGUCAUUUAUAAAGACUACUAGAGAGAAUCACCUGCAUCUAUGCCCAGGUGUUUAGUAAUUCCUCAGUUUGGAGGUGACUAAAUGUGUCAAUACGGUUGACCUGAAUAAUUACUGGCCUCUUUUCCUCAGCUGUAAUCCAAGGUAUUUCACACUGCUGAUCACAAUGUUUGAUAAGCUCCACAUGUGUUUUGACUUAUAACUUGCUGGUAGACCUUAAAUGCCUUAAGGCUCACUAGCAUUGCAAAGUUAAGCCUAUGCAAGCCUAAAAUAAACAGUUGUUCCUUUUGCAAUCCAUAAUUGUUGCUCCACAUGGUAAAAUAGCAUUUGCGACACAUGCCAUUUAUGUGAGGUUUGAAAUUAGGAUUAAACACAAUUUCAGUUGCUUUAAAAAAUAAUUAUAAACUCCAGCUGUCAACCAAGACAUAAAAAAUAUUAACACUGAGAUCUGUGGAUUAACCCCAACCACUGUGUGUGGGCUUGAGCAAUCAUUUUGUUCUUUACAAGUAAUGUCUUGUAAUGUAUAUCCCAUAUUCAAAUAUAAAGAAAUGUAUUUUGAAAAUAGUCUCAUUGAGACAUUAUGCUCACAUUACUCAGCCAUUCCCGUGAGAUUUAUGUGAGCUGACCUUAUGACAGUUUAAUAGCUUGUCUUUUUAUCUAACACUUUUAUGACACCUGAGGUUCAGUGGCCCGCUGUGCCUUUCCGUAAGAGGCUUGGCAGGUGUACGCACACAGCGCCGCCCCGCAGUCUGGAUAAAUCUUGGGUGGUUUGGCUAUCCUAGCUCCAAAAAGCUGCAGAGGUUAAAGGCCACUUUAAUACCCAGCAUUGCCACCCUGAGCUUCCAGUAUGGAUUCGUGCUUGGAUUAGUUCAGGUUGCUGGCUUUAACAGUAAGCGAGAACACCGCACCACAGUAGAAAAACACAGGAUCCACUUUAGUUGUGCCAGAACUCUCAGCAAGCCUUCAAACAAAGAUAUACUUAUGUCACUCUUAGGAUGAGAUGUAUAUUUUGAUUUUGGUGAGAUUAAGCUGAGUGUAUGUGCAAAUGGGAACAGUUAUGUGCAGAGACCUAAUGGAAGCCUAAUGUGUUUUGUAGGCUGUCAUCCUUGUCUGUUCUCUUCCCACCACAGGUUAUUGCACCCACAUUACAAAGGUUUAGCGUGUUAAAUGAUCCUGGAAUGAGUGAUUUAUGGAAACCACUCCUCCGGUCUCCAUCCAGUUGAAACCGGUUAGAACCAUGUGUAGUAGGAAAUGAAAAUCAGACACUGGCACAGUCAAGUCGAGCGUCAGCGGAUCUAUACAAGAGGACAUCACAUGAUGUGGUUGUUGCAACAGAUUAACAUCAAAUGAUAAAAAAAAUCUUUAUUUCAAUUUGUAGUUAGCAGCAUGGCUGGCAACGCAAACUGCUGAUCUACCUACCAUUUUAAUAUCAGACUGAAAUAACAGUUAAAAUGUGAACAUAUUUAACAGGUAGAUUUAGAAGUUCAUUUUUUAUCAAUUUGAUAUCAUGUUCACAAGUUCAGUUCUCUAAAGAUCACUAUAAAUAAUCCCGAUAGGCAAAGAGUUUAAGAGCAUCACAUCAGAGGGAGCGUCGUUUUAGCAGAAUAGCGAAGGUGUCUGAGGACCACAACAGUGUUUAGGAUUUACUAUUCUGCCGUUAAACAUAAAUAGCCAUGUUUAUCCACACAUUUCUCUGGAGACAUUUCAAGAGUCACCCUCAUGGUGACACACUUUAGAGGAAGUCGGGGAAUCACCGGUCAUUAUAUCCUCUAGGAACUACAAGUGUACCGUAAAUCCACUGUGGGAGACUGAGUAAGUGGCAGCUGACCUGCUGGUGUCUGUAGAGGGAAAAAAAAAAAAAAAAAGUCACUUAGAAUCACCCUUAAGGAGCCUUUGCAAACUUUUACAGCAAUCUAUCAUAUUCACUGAGCCAUUUUGGUAAGACAUUAACCCUUGGAAGUCAUACCUGUGUUGAAGUGUACCUACCUGUGCUCAUAAACGCAUACUGCCAUAUAAUGUUAAAGGUUGAAUAUAAAAAAUAUAAAAAUUUUUCUACUGUUCCAGGUUGUGAGCUUUGUUGGUGCAGUUUAUUUAAGGCACAAACAUUUUCCAUCAACUACUUCAGAGGUUUGUCAGACUCUCAUAACUACCACAGUGAAGCAUUCCAGUGAAGCUAAAUACACAAAAAGAUGCAUUUUUGAGCCUGUUGAAAUGUUCUGUUAAAUUAAGCAAGUGCAUCAAAUCGCAGGUGUGAAAGUGAAAAAAAAAAAAAAAGAUUGUCUUCCAGGUUUGCUUAUCAGUGUUACACCCACAGUUAUUACAUUACAACUGAGUAUCAAACGAUAUUCAUAAAAUUCACAAUUAAAACAGAAGUUGUCAUCUCAAGAGCUUUAAUCAUACAUAGAAAUUUAGUUCAACAGUACCAUUCAUUUAGAAUGUUUUCGCAGUAUGUAUAUUUAGUGUAAAGAGCAUUGUUUUUUCUUUUUUCUGAUGGGAAUAUCCAUAAGGAUGACAGAAGCUUUCAGAAAUACACCAGAGAGAGAAGAUCAGAGAAGAGACUGAGUACAUGACUAAGUUGUAACACCUCAGACUAUAUUUUCAAACACCUCAAAAGGCGACAUUUAUCUGUGGUUUAUGUGUCCAUCCUCGUUGAUGCUUUUUUUCCUUUUCAUUUUAACAUAGGAGCAGCAGAUCUUUGAAUGCUUACACAAACUAAAAUACCUGUGCUGCAAGCACCGUUUGAUCAAUGCCCUAUUAUAAUGGAGAAACUCCAAGCACUCUUCUAUGACACCGUUUUGUUGACCUAAUCAAAGCCACGUUAAACUUGGGGUUGUGGUGAACUGUUUUACACUGCUUUAAUGACAGAGGGUGAUCUGGAGUGGAGGACAUUACUGCAAUCAAGUGUCAUAUUAUAGGCAUGAAAA